This 464-nucleotide ribosomal RNA is filed under the name uncultured bacterium. Its description in RNAcentral is "partial 16S ribosomal RNA". It matches the Rfam family "Bacterial small subunit ribosomal RNA", at positions 28 to 507 of the family's 1533-position model. The record is from RNAcentral.
GACGAACGCUGGCGGCGUGCUUAACACAUGCAAGUCGAACGGAAAGGCCCCAGCUUUCUGGGGUACACGAGUGGCGAACGGGUGAGUAACACGUGUGUAACCUGCCCCGCACUUCGGGAUAAGCCUAGGAAACUGGGUCUAAUACCGGAUAGGACCUCCUCGUGAGGGUGUGGUGGAAGGUUUUUCGGUGUGGGAUGGGCCCGCGGCCUAUCAGCUUGUUGGUGGGGUAGUGGGCUACCAAGGCGGCGACGGGUAGCCGGCCUGAGAGGGUGGACGGCCACAUUGGGACUGAGAGACGGCCCAGACUCCUACGGGAGGCAGCAGUGGGGAAUAUUGCACAAUGGGCGGAAGCCUGAUGCAGCGACGCCGCGUGGGGGAUGACGGCCUUCGGGUUGUAAACACCUUUCGCCAUCGACGAAGGUUUUCUGACGGUAGAUGGAGAAGAAGCACCGGCUAACUACGUG